RNAcentral lists this microRNA precursor (203 nucleotides) under Hordeum vulgare. RNAcentral's name for it is "miR6182 stem-loop (hvu-MIR6182)". The record is from miRBase by way of RNAcentral. Lineage: Eukaryota; Viridiplantae; Streptophyta; Magnoliopsida; Poales; Poaceae.
UGCGAGCACAUGAGUGUGUGAUGGAUGGCUUUGAGCGUUUUGCCCAAGGUCACUUGAUCACCCUCUUCUCGGCAACAAACUACUGUGGUACGGCAAACAACGCAGGUGCAAUCUUAGUUCUGGGAAGGGAUCUUGUGGUUGUCCCAAAACUCAUUCAUCCUUUGCCACCUGCCAUUACAUCUCCUGAGACAUCCCCGGAGCAC